GACGAACGCUGGCGGCGUGCUUAACACAUGCAAGUCGAGCGGUAAGGCCCUUUCGGGGGUACACGAGCGGCGAACGGGUGAGUAACACGUGGGUGACCUGCCCUCAGCUCUGGGAUAAGCCUGGGAAACCGGGUCUAAUACCGGAUAUGACUCCAUGACGCAUGUUGUGGGGUGGAAAGCCUUGUGCGGCUGAGGAUGGGCCCGCGGCCUAUCAGCUUGUUGGUGGGGGAUGGCCUACCAAGGCGACGACGGGUAGCCGGCCUGAGAGGGCGACGGCCACACUGGGACUGAGACACGGCCCAGACUCCUACGGGAGGCAGCAGUGGGGAAUCUUGCGCAAUGGGCGAAAGCCUGACGCAGCGACGCCGCGUGAGGGAUGACGGCCUGGUGU
This 391-nucleotide ribosomal RNA is filed under the name uncultured bacterium. RNAcentral's name for it is "bacterial SSU rRNA". It matches the Rfam family "Bacterial small subunit ribosomal RNA", at positions 28 to 422 of the family's 1533-position model. The record is from RNAcentral.